This is a long non-coding RNA of Clupea harengus (Atlantic herring), 1767 nucleotides long. Lineage: Eukaryota; Metazoa; Chordata; Actinopteri; Clupeiformes; Clupeidae. The record is from Ensembl.
AUCUCUCUUUUUUUGCACAAAAAUAAGAACUAUAAAACAAAAAGAUAACAACUAGUCAGUCAAACACAGUCUAGUAGACUCUGCAGCCUACACAGUCAUGUCAAUAACUCUGCAAAGUUUGUAACAUGCAAGGCUGGGUAGGGGUUGAUGUACAGGAAGUCACAGAAGGGAGACCACAACCCAGACCAUAGUUUUUUUUUUCUUUUUUUGUCAGCGGACAAAGGCUGUUAGCAACAAGCGGACGCAUCUGAAGUCAUUUCCUGAUAUAUUUUAUAGGACACAGAUCUAAGUAACAGAUAUAAAUAGCACAUUCUGUGAAGGUGGACAUUGUCACUCUCAAAGUCUUCAUUUCGCCUGUCCACUCCGAGACUCAGCCAUGAAGAACUACAAGCUUACCGUCACCUGCAUCCUUCUCUUCACACUUUGCACCGCGGUGAUGAGUCAAUAUGGUUACUUUCCCAAAAAAUGUUGUUUCCGUUACUACAACAAACCUAUACCUGUGGGCCGUGUUAGAAAAAUUGUGCGGACUUCCCCAGAAUGCAUCAACCCAGGUUAUCUGGUCAUAACAAAGAAACGAGGAGCAUCCCUGUGUGUCCAACCAGGCAGGCCGGAGGUCGUCAAACUGAUUAGCAAAUUCUACCUCGUCUAAGCUUUCAGCUCUUGAAAUAAAAUCAGCUCAAUCCAUCCGCCUAACAAAUAGUGUUACUAAGCUUCUUCUGGGGAUAUACUCAGGAAAUGUACGUUAUGGUUUUUGACCAGUCAUAAGUGGAAUUAUUUUUUGCCUUUUGUUCAUUAUUCUUUCUUUCUUUCUUUCUUUCUUUCUUUAUGUUAUUGUAACAUUUGUAACCACAAUUUCUUUCAAUAAAUACAAGAUGACCAACACUGUGUUUCCUCACAACCUUUAUUAACACACAAACGUGUUAGACAAGAGCAGCAUUUUGUAAGGAUUCCUCCAACUGUAUUGUUUGCCUAACUUAAUUUAGUUUGGUUCGUUCAGAGCAGUUAUUUCAGCUUGUUUUUCCCAUUUUCGGGAAGCUUCUCCCAUUUUCCGCCAUUUAGCAUGGGUAUUUAACCCAUUGUCCUUGGUGAGCACCGCUCUGUUUCAACUUAGUAAUAGUUAACUGAUAACUUAAAUCAAUUUAGUUAUUGUUUGUCUUCUUGCUGUAAGCUAUUUCACAGUUGGCGUAAGUUUUAAUAUUGUGAUAUGAAUAUAAUGUGUGGUUCAGGUGUAGAAGGUUUUUGCAUUGAUCUCUUAUAUAUUUGUGGUGCAAUUUAUUUCCAAUGAGAAGCUAAAUAGUUUGAACUUAAUGCAAUGCAUCCUCAGAAACAGACUGAAAUAUUAUGUCCUUAAUGUAACUCAUGACAUACAAGUCUCACAUUCUUCUGGACUACAAAAGCAUAUUAAGUAAAGACUUUUGCAGACAAAAGUCACUCAACGCUCAAAACUCAUACUAUUACCUGGUAGUAUGUACUAAUACAAACUAUCAAGUUCGUCAUACCACACUCAAAAUCAUCUGUGAGUGUUAGCAGAAAAAUAACCCUGAAAGGACGUUUUUAUGAAAGACAUAUGUAGGUCACCAAACCACUUCCUGUUGCGCUUUAAAGAUGAGUUUACACUUACAUAAAACCCAUAAAUGGUAUGUAUGAUGUAUACUGUACAACAUAUAUAUAUAAUAUAACAUUUUGUAGCACUAUUUGAUAAUAACCAAAGAGUUAAAUUCAUAUCCCAAUGCAGUCUUCAUUUGGUACUUAAAUCUGAUAGCAGCC